This 253-nucleotide ribosomal RNA is filed under the name uncultured bacterium. RNAcentral's name for it is "partial 16S ribosomal RNA". It matches the Rfam family "Bacterial small subunit ribosomal RNA", at positions 524 to 776 of the family's 1533-position model. The record is from RNAcentral.
UACGUAGGGUGCGAGCGUUGUCCGGAAUUAUUGGGCGUAAAGAGCUCGUAGGUGGCGGGCCACGUCGGGUGUGAAAGCCCGGGGCUUAACUCCGGGUCUGCAUUCGAUACGGGUCUGCUGGGGUCCGGCAGGGGAGACUGGAAUUCCUGGUGUAGCGGUGAAAUGCGCAGAUAUCAGGAGGAACACCGGUGGCGAAGGCGGGUCUCUGGGCCGGUACCGACGCUGAGGAGCGAAAGCGUGGGGAGCGAACAGG